Molecule: ribosomal RNA, 393 nt
Filed under: Nasutitermes ephratae
Lineage: Eukaryota; Metazoa; Arthropoda; Insecta; Blattodea; Termitidae
Description: partial 16S ribosomal RNA
Source: RNAcentral
CAUCUUUUCUUGUUAGUUUUUGAAGUAUGGCCUGCCCACUGACUUGGAGUUGAAGGGCCGCGGUAUUUUGACCGUGCAAAGGUAGCAUAAUCAUUAGUUCUUUAAUUGUGAUCUGGUAUGAAUGGCUUGACGAGACAUAAGCUGUCUUAGAAGUAUUGAUUUAUUGAAUUUGGUUUUUGAGUUAAAAUUCUUAAAUGUUUUUAUGGGACGAGAAGACCCUAUAGAGUUUGACAAUUUUCCUAUUUAUUCGUUGUUUGUUUUAUUUACAUUGAGUGGGAGUGAAUUGUUUUGUUGGGGUGAUGGGAGGAAUAUUGUUUAACUCCUCUUUAUUUUUAUAUAUUUAUGUAUAUAUUUUUGAUCCAUUUAUUUUGAUUAUAAGAUUAAAUUACCUUA